RNAcentral lists this ribosomal RNA (460 nucleotides) under uncultured bacterium. RNAcentral's name for it is "partial 16S ribosomal RNA". It matches the Rfam family "Bacterial small subunit ribosomal RNA", at positions 338 to 795 of the family's 1533-position model. The record is from RNAcentral.
CCUACGGGUGGCAGCAGUGAGGAAUAUUGGUCAAUGGGCGCGAGCCUGAACCAGCCAAGUCGCGUGAGGGAAGACGGCCCUACGGGUUGUAAACCUCUUUUGCCGGGGAGCAACGGGCGCCACGUGUGGCGCCACUGAGAGUACCCGGAGAAAAAGCAUCGGCUAACUCCGUGCCAGCAGCCGCGGUAAUACGGAGGAUGCGAGCGUUAUCCGGAUUUAUUGGGUUUAAAGGGUGCGUAGGCGGAGCGUUAAGUCAGUGGUCAAAUUGAGGUGCUCAACCCCUUCCCGCCAUUGAAACUGGCGCUCUUGAGUGGAAGAGAAGUAUGCGGAAUUCGUGGUGUAGCGGUGAAAUGCUUAGAUAUCACGAAGAACUCCGAUUGCGAAGGCAGCCUGCUGGACUGUAACUGACGCUGAUGCUCGAAAGUGUGGGUAUCAAACAGGAUUAGAUACCCUGGUAGUC